Molecule: long non-coding RNA, 1266 nt
Filed under: Homo sapiens (human)
Lineage: Eukaryota; Metazoa; Chordata; Mammalia; Primates; Hominidae
Description: HSALNT0361791
Source: RNAcentral
UGAGCACGCGCAGUGCGUUUAGGAAGUUGUACGCAUACCCAACUGAAGCUUUCUUCCCUUCUCCAGUGGAGUGCACCUGCACAGAAACUCUCUCUGUACCACGUACCUGCUGCCAGAAGCUGGGAAGGAGUGGUGCUGGUGAUUCAAAACUGAUUUUCCUGCCUCUUCGAUGCCUCUUUUAGUGACAUACAGUUAAGACCAGGCACUGCUAGAUUAUCUCCUAACUUUAAAACUUUGGAUGAAUAAUUAUAAAGCAGCAAAUUGGUGUUGCAAAGAGAAGACAUGAAAAGCAGAGUUUAGUAGAUAUUUUCUAUGAUUCACUCUUGAGAGAGAUAACAGAAACUGAAGUGAAGUAUCCUUGAUCUUGGAACUCCAUUCCUCCCCUGCUGAGUGAGAGGAGUCUCAGACUGUGGAAAAUAAAUGGCUGACAGAACAAGAUCAUAGAGUUUUCCUAUAUUCUGUAAGUUACUGACAAAAAGCAGGUUGAGUUAAAACUAAGUCCAUGUAACCCAGCAUGUUGAGAAAGAUCUUUGAGAAAGAGUCCUCAGAUUGUUCUUCAGCUUUGAGAGACUGAAUGGAUCAGACAAGGAUAACCAAAACCUAGACCUUGUUGCUUUAGAGGAGUCAGGAAUCAGCAAAAUAAUUUUGAAACAUAAUAAACAUACUUUUUAUUGCUUUGUCUUUGUCAUUGGUAAAAAGGCACUCAGUUAUAAAACUCUAUGGAGAGGAUCUGAGAUGGUAUAGAAGUGUUUGUAUCCCAGCAGCAGGUGGAAGCCAGGGGAUGUCUACCAAAGUUGUAAAUGCAUGUAUUCUGUGGUGUAGCUGAGAGAUAGCUGCCUCACAGAGUAUGCCAUGGAAAAUUCUAAGGAUGAUGAGGCCAGACCACUCUGCAUGGAUCCACAGCAGUAAAUCCACUUCUGAGGAGAAGAAUGAAAGCCAAGGCAGAUAUGAAAGAGCCAUGGACUGCUGACCUUUGAACCCUGAGAGGAGUGCAGAGCUCACUCAUAUUCUAAUGAAGUAUUUUUCUACCCUUAUUAUGAUUCUGACUCACUAUACUUCUUAUCAAAAUUACAUGAUGAGGAAUUGUAUGUUUGAAUAGCAGUCAAAUGAGAAGAGACUUUAUCAUUUAGCAAAUCUAUCUGCCCAAUUUCGUAGCUUGAGACAAUGCAAAAAUGUCAACCCAUGAUCUCUAUCCCAUUUUCUUUUGAUUAUCUCUACAGCUUGUAAAAAUCUCUGUACUUUUUUUCCAGUUUAAUUCUAUCUAGG